UACGUAGGGUGCAAGCGUUGUCCGGAAUUAUUGGGCGUAAAGAGCUCGUAGGCGGUUCGUCGCGUCGGCUGUGAAAUCCCGGAGCUCAACUCCGGGUCUGCAGUCGAUACGGGCGGACUCGAGUUCGGCAGGGGAGACUGGAAUUCCUGGUGUAGCGGUGAAAUGCGCAGAUAUCAGGAGGAACACCGGCGGCGAAGGCGGGUCUCUGGGCCGAUACUGACGCUGAGGAGCGAAAGCGUGGGGAGCGAACAGG
This 253-nucleotide ribosomal RNA is filed under the name uncultured bacterium. Its description in RNAcentral is "partial 16S ribosomal RNA". It matches the Rfam family "Bacterial small subunit ribosomal RNA", at positions 524 to 776 of the family's 1533-position model. The record is from RNAcentral.